UUUUUUGUUUAAAUGUUUUUUCGCUUAAGGAUGGGUCUGCGGCCGAUUAGGUAGUUGGUUAGGUAAUGGCUUACCAAGCCGUUGAUCGGUACGGGUUGCGAGAGCAAGAGCCCGGAGAUGGAACCUGAGACAAGGUUCCAGGCCCUACGGGGUGCAGCAGGCGCGAAACCUCCGCAAUGUGAGAAAUCGCGACGGGGGGAUCCCAAGUGCCAUUCUUAACGGGAUGGCUUUUCAUUAGUGUAAAGAGCUUUUGGAAUAAGGGCUGGGCAAGACCGGUGCCAGCCGCCGCGGUAACACCGGCAGCUCUAGUGGUAGCAGUUUUUAUUGGGCCUAAAGCGUCCGUAGCCGGUUUAAUAAGUCUCUGGUGAAAUCCUGUAGCUUAACUGUGGGAAUUGCUGGAGAUACUAUUAGACUUGAGACCGGGAGAGGUUAGAGGUACUCCCAGGGUAGAGGUGAAAUUCUGUAAUCCUGGGAGGACCGCCUGUUGCGAAGGCGUCUAACUGGAACGGUUCUGACGGUGAGGGACGAAAGUUAGGGGCGCGAACCGGAUUAGAUACCCGGGUAGUCCUAACCGUAAACGAUGCGGACUUGGUGUUGGGGUGGCUUUGAGCUGCUCCAGUGCCGAAGGGAAGCUGUUAAGUCCGCCGCCUGGGAAGUACGGUCGCAAGACUGAAACUUAA
Molecule: ribosomal RNA, 680 nt
Filed under: uncultured archaeon
Lineage: Archaea
Description: bacterial SSU rRNA
Rfam family: Archaeal small subunit ribosomal RNA
Source: RNAcentral